Molecule: ribosomal RNA, 523 nt
Filed under: uncultured microorganism
Description: bacterial SSU rRNA
Rfam family: Bacterial small subunit ribosomal RNA
Source: RNAcentral
GAGUUUGAUCGUGGCUCAGAUUGAACGCUGGCGGUAUGCUUAACACAUGCAAGUCGAACGGUAACAGGAGAGAGCUUGCUCUUUUGCUGACGAGUGGCGGACGGGUGAGUAAUGCGUAGGAAUCUGCCUAGUAGUGGGGGACAACGUGUGGAAACGCACGCUAAUACCGCAUACGCCCUACGGGGGAAAGCGGGGAGUCUUCGGACCUCGCGCUAUUAGAUGAGCCUACGUUAGAUUAGCUAGUUGGUGGGGUAAAGGCCUACCAAGGACGACGAUCUAUAGCUGGUCUGAGAGGAUGAUCAGCCACACUGGGACUGAGACACGGCCCAGACUCCUACGGGAGGCAGCAGUGGGGAAUAUUGGACAAUGGGCGAAAGCCUGAUCCAGCAAUACCGCGUGUGUGAAGAAGGCCUGAGGGUUGUAAAGCACUUUCAAUUGUGAAGAAUAUUUAAGGUUAAUAACCUUAAAUUUUGACGUUAACUUUAGAAGAAGCACCGGCUAACUCCGUGGCAGCAGCCGCAGU